ACCAAUGAAGACCACGGCUUUGCGUAUGUGCCAGCAAAGUUGUGGAGGCCAUUUACCCAAUGUGCUAUUACAUACAUAACCCUAUACUGUAUACUUUAUGAAUCAAUAAAAAAUUUACAAUUUUUAAUUAUAAACCUGUGUUUUCUAUCAAAAUUACUUCUUGUGUGUAUUUUGGGACACCCUAUAUUAUACAAUUAUCCUUUUUUCCCCAAAGGAAUUUAAUCAUUAAUCCUCAAUGGAAAUGAAGUAACAUCUUACAGUAAAGAAUGGGUAUGUGGGAGUGGGGGAAGUACUUCUGAGUUAAUUAUACUGAUUGCUUCCAAAAACAAUGUAGAAAGAGGAAAAGACUAGAGUUCAGAUAAGAUAAAUUGCUUCAUGUGACCAAAGGGAGAAUCAUUUUACCACAAAAUGAAAACAACUGUGGUUACAUUUAGAAGAAUGAAAACAUCCAGAUUUCUCAAAUGUCAACAAUAUUCUCCGGCUUGUAAAAUGCUCCUGACAGCAGUCUAUUUACAUCUGAUAUGAUGUCAUUUCAUAUUAACAGAUUUCAUGGGCUCACCCCAAACUCAGAAUUAUGCUUUCUGUAAUUAUGCUAUGGAUCAAUUGCUUUGAAACAGACAUUUUCUGCUUGAAAGGUUUUCAGGGACUUUAGAAUAUAGCAGUAAGCAGGUUGGGAGCAAUCUGGUCUGGAGAUUUGAAGAGGUAGGCUGCUAACUUGCGACAGUCACAAUAGGGUAGUCAAUUAACAUUUGUUGAGUACUCUAUGCAAGGCGUGGUUGAAAGCAUUUUACUUGUAUUAUUUCAUUAAACCUUUGUAACAGCCCUAUGAAGUAAGCAAAUCACUGUCUCCAUUUCACAGGUGGGGAGCUUGAGGCACAGGAUGGUCAUGUGACUUCCCCAAGGUCAUGCUGCUAGUAAGUGGCAGAGCCAGGAAUGGAAUGCAGGCGAUCUGGUUCCACAGCCCACUUACCACUAUCUGUCUGCCUUAUAACAUCAGAAUUUUUUAAACUGCUAGAAAAUGCCUUGAAGAACCCAGGAACAUAUUGAGUGGGACGUUUUGCCUCUCCGCAUCUCAAAUCUAGAGUGAAUCUAGAGGUUUAAGAGAAGCAAGUAUGAA
Molecule: long non-coding RNA, 1117 nt
Organism: Myotis daubentonii (Daubenton's bat)
Lineage: Eukaryota; Metazoa; Chordata; Mammalia; Chiroptera; Vespertilionidae
Source: RefSeq, a predicted model, not a curated record